RNAcentral lists this ribosomal RNA (181 nucleotides) under Apiospora pseudospegazzinii. RNAcentral's name for it is "Arthrinium pseudospegazzinii partial 18S ribosomal RNA". It matches the Rfam family "Eukaryotic small subunit ribosomal RNA", at positions 1653 to 1831 of the family's 1831-position model. The record is from RNAcentral. Lineage: Eukaryota; Fungi; Ascomycota; Sordariomycetes; Amphisphaeriales; Apiosporaceae.
CUGCCCUUUGUACACACCGCCCGUCGCUACUACCGAUUGAAUGGCUCAGUGAGGCUUUGGGACCUACUAGAAGAGGUCGGCAACGACCACUUCCGGCGGGAAACUUAUCCAAACUCGGUCAUUUAGAGGAAGUAAAAGUCGUAACAAGGUCUCCGUUGGUGAACCAGCGGAGGGAUCAUUA